AAUUUUGUGAGCAUGGAGGGCAUUUUUGACAUUUGAUGUAAUGGUGGACCUUUGACCACAUGAGAGCCAUUUAAUUUGGAGGAGACGAGGUCAAUAUAUGACCACAAAUCUCAUUUCCUCUCCCUCACUUUCAGCCACACUCCCUUUCUCAUCCAUUUUACUUCCUCUCUCUAAAGUCUCAAACUUCUCUUUAGAUUUUGAGAUAGCUAAAGUGAAGUCUAGGAAGGGAGCAAAAAGGAAGGUUGUUCUACUCUUCAAAGUCUGCAUUUCUAUAUCGGUCUUGCAUGCAUUUGGGGAUUUUCGAGUUGAAUUUAUUGGCAUUGGAAUUACUUUCUUGAGGAAAGCCAGAGAAGAUUUGGCGUAAGGUUUGCAAUUACGGACUUAGACAACGCUAUGAUGUUUAUUAUAUUGUAUUGUAACCUUAUAUUUAUGGCUACGACGACCUCGUUUAUGUACUUAAUUCAUUGAAAUUGUGUAAAGACGAUUCAUAUAUUUUGAUUCACGAGAAAUGUAUAAAAGAUGUUAUUUUAACGAUUCUAUGAAAUGUUUAGGGGUUGAUGAUGUUCA
Molecule: long non-coding RNA, 567 nt
Organism: Cornus florida
Lineage: Eukaryota; Viridiplantae; Streptophyta; Magnoliopsida; Cornales; Cornaceae
Exons: 2
Source: RefSeq, a predicted model, not a curated record